This is a long non-coding RNA of Carassius auratus (goldfish), 1300 nucleotides long. RefSeq lists it as uncharacterized. The record is from RefSeq and is a predicted model, not a curated record. NCBI's taxonomy places the organism in Eukaryota, Metazoa, Chordata, Actinopteri, Cypriniformes, Cyprinidae. The transcript is spliced from 2 exons.
UAAUUUGUUGUAUUGACAAGUCAAGCUAGUAGAUAUUUAUAAUAUUAUAGUGGCUUGAUUGGAUGUUUUUAAAUAAAGAUUUACAAAAACUAUGAUUGUGAAAGUGGAAGUCGUGACAUUUGCCUAGUUUGGUAGCCCAUACUCGGAAUUGGUCUGCAUUUAACUUAUCCAAGUACACACACACACAGUAGUGAGAAGUGAAGACACCGUGAACACAUAGAGCAGUGGGCAGCUAUAGAUCCUGCGCCCUGGGAGCAACUGAGGGGUUCAGCAGAACAGGUUAUUUUGUCAGGUGAGGGGGCGUGUUUCGGAGGGUAAGUGACGUCAAUGUAACCCUUUAUUUAAAGUGCUGAGUAUGACGGUUCUGGCACUCAGCUGGACUGUUUGUUGAAGUCUGUGUAAAAUGGAGAAAAUUGGUGAGAAGUAAAAAAAUUUUUUAGAGCGGAACAAUGUUUUUAUUUUAUGUGUACCGAGUGUAUUACUCUUUAUUUUUGUAGUUGUUAAUCUUUAUAUUUUAUUUAUUUUGUUGGCACAGAAAGCAACAAGGUUGUUUCCAGGUUUGGGAAGAAAGACUUCCUUGUACCUAAAGGUCUGAAUGUUUGCUUCUUGACGGAUUCCAUGUGCCGUGGUUUGGACCAAUACUGUGAGGGCGCAUAUUGUUGGGUUCAUCCGGGAACUACUUUGGUCCGUUCAGCACAACAGCACGUUUAUCAUCUGAGAAGAGUAAACGGGGAUGCCUUGUUAAUCAUUCACAUUGGGACAAAUGAUGUCGCUAGUGGGGUUUCAGCGGAAACCAUCGUUAACCGAAUGGCAUUGCUUGUGGAACGCCUUCGUCACUCUUUUAAGUACAAACUGUAUUUCGCUAUUUGUUCUGUUUUGCCUCGUUAUGUUGAUGACAAGCAAACUAAACAUACAGUGAAGCGUUGCAAUAUAUUGUUGGAAAGAUGGUCUAGUGAGAUGGACAAUGUUGUUUUUUUGCGAACGUGGAGAGCCUUUGUGUCUGGAGGAUGUAUAUGUUCUGAAAUGUUCCGUCCAGAUGGACUUCACUUGAAUGUGAAAGGGAAAGAUCGUCUUUUCCAGUAUUUCAAACAUUUUUUGUGGAACUUUUGUAACUAUAUUCUUCGCUUUCCAAGCUUGCAGCAAUAAAUCUCUAUGGAAAUAAGCUUUUAAAAGUGUUGAUGCAACUUAUUUAUUGUUCGAUAUUUUUGGGGUUAAAAAAAUGUUCUGCAAAUAUCAAUUGUGUGUAUAUACAGGGGUGCACAUAAAUGGUCCAUAACCAAAAAAAAAAAAAAAAAAAAAA